RNAcentral lists this transfer RNA (72 nucleotides) under Smittium culicis. It matches the Rfam family "tRNA". Rfam says of the family: Transfer RNA (tRNA) molecules are approximately 80 nucleotides in length. Their secondary structure includes four short double-helical elements and three loops (D, anti-codon, and T loops). Further hydrogen bonds mediate the characteristic L-shaped molecular structure. tRNAs have two regions of fundamental functional importance: the anti-codon, which is responsible for specific mRNA codon recognition, and the 3' end, to which the tRNAs corresponding amino acid is attached (by aminoacyl-tRNA synthetases). tRNAs cope with the degeneracy of the genetic code in two manners: having more than one tRNA (with a specific anti-codon) for a particular amino acid; and 'wobble' base-pairing, i.e. permitting non-standard base-pairing at the 3rd anti-codon position. The record is from Rfam by way of RNAcentral. Lineage: Eukaryota; Fungi; Kickxellomycota; Harpellomycetes; Harpellales; Legeriomycetaceae.
GGCUUGAUGGUCUAGUGGUAUGAUUCUCGCUUUGGGUGCGAGAGGCCCUGGGUUCAAUCCCCGGUCAAGCCC